UUCCGGUUGAUCCUGCCGGACCUCACUGCUAUCGGGAUGAGAUUAAGCCAUGCAAGUCGAGCGUCUCCUAGCUAUGUUGGAGGCGCGGCGGACGGCUCAGUAACACGUAGUCAAUCUACCCUUGGGACAGAGAUAACCCCUGGGAAACUGAGGCUAAUACCUGAUAUGUGAAAGAUCUUGGAAUAGCCUUUCACAGAAAAGGCGUCAGAUACAUGCUUCUGAUGUUGCCCAAGGAUGGGACUGCGGCCGAUCAGGUAGUUGGUAAGGUAACGGCUUACCAAGCCUAUAACCGGUACGGGCCCUGAGAGGGGGAGCCUGGAGAUGGGAACUGAGAAAAGGUCCUAAGCCCUACGGGGCGCAGCAGGCGCGAAAACUUCGCAAUGCGCGAAAGCGCGACGAGGUUAUCCCGAGUGCUGUCCGAUGAGGAUAGCUUUUCACCGAUGUAAAUAGUCAGUGGAAUAAGGGGGGGGCAAGACUGGUGUCAGCCGCCGCGGUAAUACCAGCCCCUCGAGUGGUGGGGACGAUUAUUUGGCCUAAAGCGUUCGUAGCCGGCUUGGUAAGUCCUCCGUUAAAUCUGACGACUUAAUCGUCAGGCUGCGGAAGAUACUACUGGGCUAGGAGGCGGGAGAGGUCGACGGUAUUCCAGGGGUAGGAGUGGAAUCCUAUAAUCCUUGGAGGACCACCAGUGGCGAAGGCGGUCGACCAGAACGCGCUCGACGGUGAGGGACGAAAGCUGGGGGAGCGAACCGGAUUAGAUACCCGGGUAGUCCCAGCCGUAAACGAUGCAAGCUAGGUGUUGGCGCGGCUACGGGCCGUGCCAGUGCCCCAGGGAAGCCCUUAAGCUUGCCGCCUGGGGAGUACGGUCGCAAGGCUGAAACUUAAAGGAAUUGGCGGGGGAACACCACAAGGCGUGAAGGCUGCGGUUUAAUUGGAGUCAACGCCGGG
Molecule: ribosomal RNA, 945 nt
Filed under: uncultured archaeon
Lineage: Archaea
Description: bacterial SSU rRNA
Rfam family: Archaeal small subunit ribosomal RNA
Source: RNAcentral